AUCGCUUCUCGGCCUUUUGGCUAAGAUCAAGUGUAGUAUCUGCUCUUAUCAAUUCAAUAUCUGAUAUGUCCUCUAUCUGAGGACAAUAUAGGAAAUGGAUUUUUGGGAUUAGGAGAUGGAAGAGGAGCUUGCUCCGUGACCUGGUAUUGCAGUACCUUCAGGAAAGGUGCACCCCAC
Molecule: small nuclear RNA, 177 nt
Filed under: Castor canadensis (American beaver)
Lineage: Eukaryota; Metazoa; Chordata; Mammalia; Rodentia; Castoridae
Description: U2 spliceosomal RNA (ENSCCNG00000004799.1)
Rfam family: U2 spliceosomal RNA
About the family: U2 is a small nuclear RNA (snRNA) component of the spliceosome (involved in pre-mRNA splicing). Complementary binding between U2 snRNA (in an area lying towards the 5' end but 3' to hairpin I) and the branchpoint sequence (BPS) of the intron results the bulging out of an unpaired adenosine, on the BPS, which initiates a nucleophilic attack at the intronic 5' splice site, thus starting the first of two transesterification reactions that mediate splicing.
Source: Rfam by way of RNAcentral